GAGGGUGUGGUCUAACCUAAGACAGUAGCUUGUGGUGCUUCGCAUCCGCCCCGGCGGCGCCCUCU
RNAcentral lists this transfer RNA (65 nucleotides) under Myosotella myosotis (mouse ear snail). RNAcentral describes it as "tRNA-His". Lineage: Eukaryota; Metazoa; Mollusca; Gastropoda; Ellobiida; Ellobiidae. The record is from RNAcentral.